RNAcentral lists this ribosomal RNA (372 nucleotides) under uncultured bacterium. Its description in RNAcentral is "bacterial SSU rRNA". It matches the Rfam family "Bacterial small subunit ribosomal RNA", at positions 28 to 414 of the family's 1533-position model. The record is from RNAcentral.
GAUGAACGCUAGCGGCAGGCUUAAUACAUGCAAGUCAAGGGGUAGCAAUACAACCGGCGCACGGGUGAGUAACGCGUACACAACAUACCAUAUACUGGAGUAUAGCUUUGGGAAACUGAAGGUAAUCCUCCAUAACAUUGCGAGAGGGCAUCUGAUUGCAAUUAAAGUUUCGGCGGUAUAUGAUUGGUGUGCGUUUGAUUAGCUAGUUGGUAGGGUAACGGCCUACCAAGGCGACGAUCAAUAGCUGGCGUGAGAGCGCGACCAGCCACACUGGAACUGAGACACGGUCCAGACUCCUACGGGAGGCAGCAGUAGGGAAUAUUGGACAAUGGAGGAAACUCUAAUCCAGCCAUGCCGCGUGAUAGAUGAAGG